ACGAACGCUGGCGGCGUGCUUAACACAUGCAAGUCGAGCGGUAAGGCUCCUUCGGGAGUACACGAGCGGCGAACGGGUGAGUAACACGUGAGUAAUCUGCCCUUCACUUCGGGAUAACCGCCGGAAACGGCGGCUAAUACCGGAUACGACCAGCCUUCGCAUGAGGCGCUGGUGGCAAGUUUUGUCGGUGGAGGAUGUGCUCGCGGCCUAUCAGCUUGUUGGUGGGGUAACGGCCUACCAAGGCUUCGACGGGUAGCCGGCCUGAGAGGGUGACCGGCCACACUUGGACUGAGACACGGCCCAGACUGCUACGGGAGGCAGCAGUGGGGAAUAUUGGACAAUGGGCGAAAGCCUGAGCCAGCAACGCCGCGUGAGGGAUGACGGCCUUCGGGUUGUAAACCUCGUUCAGUACCGACGAAGCGCUCCUAUGAGUGGUGACGGUAGGUACAGAAGAAGGACCGGCCAACUACGU
RNAcentral lists this ribosomal RNA (472 nucleotides) under uncultured bacterium. RNAcentral's name for it is "bacterial SSU rRNA". It matches the Rfam family "Bacterial small subunit ribosomal RNA", at positions 29 to 506 of the family's 1533-position model. The record is from RNAcentral.